This 394-nucleotide ribosomal RNA is filed under the name uncultured bacterium. Its description in RNAcentral is "bacterial SSU rRNA". It matches the Rfam family "Bacterial small subunit ribosomal RNA", at positions 28 to 424 of the family's 1533-position model. The record is from RNAcentral.
GAUGAACGCUGGCGGCGUGCUUAACACAUGCAAGUCGAACGGAAAGGCCAGUGCUUGCGCUGGUACUCGAGUGGCGAACGGGUGAGUAACACGUGGGUGAUCUGCCCUGCACUUCGGGAUAAGCUUGGGAAACUGGGUCUAAUACCGGAUAGGACCAUUGGUUGGUGCCUUUGGUGGAAAGUUUUUCGGUGUGGGAUGAGCUCGCGGCCUAUCAGCUUGUUGGUGGGUAAUGGCCUACCAAGGCGUCGACGGGUAGCCGGCCUGAGAGGGUGUACGGCCACAUUGGGACUGAGAUACGGCCCAGACUCCUACGGGAGGCAGCAGUGGGGAAUAUUGCACAAUGGGCGCAAGCCUGAUGCAGCGACGCCGCGUGGGGGAUGACGGCCUUCGGGUU